GAGUAUUCGAGUCUCUCCACCGUGACAUGAUGGUGGGGUUCGGAAAAUGGGAUUUUGAUCCUAUGGAUCUUAAGAACCCUUUCCCAAAUGGUGAAGGUUCGGUCCACUUGUGGCAUGGUGACGAAGACUGGGUUGUACCUGUUAUGUUACAGCGUUAUGUUGCAGAAAGGCUUCCAUGGAUACAAUACCAUGAAAUGCCCAAUGUUGGACAUCUAGUUAUGCAUGAUCCAGCCAUGAAUGAGGUUAUCUGGAAGACAUUUUUGACUGGAGAGGAAGAACAAAUAGUGCAUUCUUAAAGAGGAAAACUGAAAUUAUCUAUUAAGCAAAAUCUUUCUAAAUAGUUCUUUGUAAGAAUUAUGUACAUCUUGUAAGAAUACCAAACCAUUAAAAAAUAUCCACAAUUUUUUAUGAAAUUAUGAAGGAGUUAUAAUUUGAUUGGAAUUUGCAACAGAGUUGUUUAGAAGUCUUGAAAUGUAAAUUAUUCAAAGGGUGACAUAGUAACUAGAAUUUGGACAGAACAAGAUACUUGAAGUUUAAAGGGAUUCAGAAGUAGUUAAUAUAAGGCAUAAUACAUAAACAUGACCCUUAACUUGGUUUCAACAGACAACUAUGCCUUCCAACUUUGAGUGUGCACAAGUAUGCACUAGAACUUGUAUAAAAUUGAACAAGUAGACACACAUGUCUCACAUGGCAUAACCUACCAAUCACCAAGCAACCCCCCCCCCACCCCUCUUCACCCCACUACCCCCAAAAUCCCAUUUGCAUAAUUAUUUAUCAAAACAUUUAGUCAUAAUACAUAAACAUGACCCUUAACUUGGUUUCAACAGACAACUAUGCCUUCCAACUUUGAGUGUGCACAAGUAUGCACUAGAACUUGUAUAAAAUUGAACAAGUAGACACACAUGUCUCACAUGGCAUAAUACAUGUAGGACACAAAAUUGCCACGUAGGGUGCCAUGUAGGACGAAUGUGUCUAUUUGUUCAAUUUUAUACAAGUUUAAGUGUCUACUUGUGCACACCCAAAGUUAAAGGUCAUAAUUGUCAAUUGACGUCAAGUUAAGGGUCAUGUUUAUGCAUUAUGAUGUUAAUAUAAUAUUGUUUUACUUAUGCACCGAAUACUUGAAAAACAUGGAGAUACUAAAUUUUCUCCUUCAAGGGAAUAGUAACUUGUGGUUUCCACAUCAAAAUAGUUUUUUUUCAUAAUUGAGAAAUAGAGUUACUACCACAUAGUUCGAAACAUGGUGGAUUAUUUAUCCAUUUCUAAUUUAAUACUAGGCCUUUAUUUGCGAUAAAGCUAAGAUCAAACUUGUGAUGUGCGUCUAAUUCAUUAAAAAUAUUGCUAAGUACAAUAAGGUCCAUGUAACUCAAUAUUAUACUAUAAUAAAUAGUAAUACACUUUCAAUAAAGUAUAUAUAUAUUAUAGUAAUACACUUCUAAUUACUUAAACAUUAGCAAUUAGAUGAAAACACCAAUUCUUUGAUUAUAAUAAUUUGUCAUUUUUUUUAUAAUAAAAAGAUUUGUACUUUGCUGUCAAUUUUUUUCUUCCCUGUAAUACAUGUUUAGAGGUAUAGGACAAGGAGGUGGUGGGAGACGACCACGAGAAGGGUAGGUGGGUGUAAACUUUUUUUUAUUAAAAAAUAAUCCACUAUGUAGAUUUUAGUAGAUAUAUUUUAUUAAAUGUAUAUAUAAUAUAUAAAGGUCAAUUACAUGAUGCAUUUUAUUAAAUGUAUAAUAUACAAAAGUCAAUUACACGUCAAGCAUGUGGAAUUUUUUUUUCUUUGUUAUUCAUCAACACUAUAUCACCUUCAAUUCUACCCACCACCAUUAUCAAUAUGAUUUUUUUUCUUCAUCACCUUCAAUUACCCAUCACCACCAAACUCAUAAAGUUGUCAUCACCACCAAAUUCAAAAAUUAAUUAACAAUCAAAAUUUCUUUAACAAAAUCAAAAAAGGAAAAAUAUAGAAACAAUCAAUUGAAACUUUUUUAGAUAAAAUAUAAUUAUUCACUAACAAAUCUAUGAAAAUUAACCUAAUUAUGAAUUAAAAAAAAUAAAGAAGUAAGAUGAAAAUAAAGAAUGAAGAAGAAAAUGAUAAGUGGGUGUGAAGAAGAAGAGACGUAGGCGGUAGGGUUGGUAAACGGAUUCUAAUUUAUUUAUUUUUACUUUUAUUUCAAACUGAUGCGUCUAUUUUUUAUUUUUGUUUUAUUUUUUUGCCACAUCAGUUAUAGGGCUUGAAAAAAACUCACUUUAAAAUAGUAUAUGUAUGUAAUAGAGCAUUGCGAUAAUUUAAGUGUGUAACUGAUUUUUCGAAGCAAAUUUGAGGAAUUUAUGUCUUUUCCCUUUUAAUUAUAAAGUUCAACAUAAAGCAAAAUGAGAAUGAUAAUGUACGCUACUACUUUUCAUACCAAAUUUGGUUUCUCCUUUCUGUCUCCAUUUAUUCAAAAGGUAGUUCACCCACCAUUAUUGACCUCUUCAAAAUCUUUAUAUACUUCUAACAAAUUCAAUCAAACAUCUGUCUUCUCACUCAUUAAAGCUCAACAUUUCAAUAUUCUCCCAACAAAGCCAUUUAAUCAUCUUCAAGAUUCCAUUUUUUUUCAUUCCAAUUCUAGUCAAGGUAUGUUACUGUACAAUUUGAAUACACCCAAUUUGUUAUCUUGUUUAGUAGUCAAUAAAUUAGGUUGAGAACCACGAUGUCUCAGGUUCAAACCCCGAGACAAAAACACCAGUUAAUUUAUUUUCAUUUGUCUUAACUUUGUGCAACUUUAGUGGACAGAGUUAGUUGGUACGGUAGAGAGGUGACAACUAUACUACUCCUUUCCUUUAUUUUUAUAUGUCAUUCCCUUCUGUAAAUAGUUGGACUAUAAUACUUGUCAUUUUAUAAAAUCAUUACGUAAAUUACCAUAUUCUUACUAUUAUACCCUUGAUAGAGUAGUUAAUUAGCCUUGAAAAUAUAUAUUUUGACCUACCUGGGAAAUCUAAUAAGUAAUUAUAUUCAUUGGAGUACUUCAUACAUUGAUUAAUUAUUCUCUCUCCAUUCACUAUUCUAUAAAAUCUGCUUUUGAAAAUAAACUCAAAAAUUUAAAUAGUCAUCCAAAUGCAUUUUAAUAUUUGAAAUCUAGCAUAUUCAUCAUUUAUUGAAAAGUUGACUUAAGAAAACAUUAAAUAAGGAUAAAAUGGUAAAGUUCCUUAAUUUCUUAAUGCAAGUGCAAUCUUAAAAUGUGACAUAUAAAAGGAACGGAGGGAGUAUGGAAUUAGUGGAGGUGAGCGCAAAUUGGCCCACAUAUAAUGAUUAUAAAAAAAAAAUAUGAAGAGGAGGAGAAUUUUGUUAAAAAGAGGAGAGGGUGUUACAGUAAGUUGACUUUUAGCAUAAAAAUAAUCAAAUUGAUCAGUUUCUAUUUACUGAAUUGUGGGGAAUGGUUUUAGAAGAUUCAUGCAACUACAUUGAUUGAGCAAAUGAUUUUUACUAAGGGGUUUCAAAAUACGAAAAAUCAAACAUACGAAGAUACCUUGACCUUAUGUAUAUACUUCAAUCUUUUUGAAGGAGGAAGUUUGGAUGAACCCUUGAGGUACCAUAGUAUUAGAAUUAUGAGAACGAGGAGGAUUAGAGUGGGAAUGUAGCCAGUUUUUGCGUGGCUGAGAAUGAAAUGUCUCUUGGCAAAGACAGAACUAGAUUUCGAGUUUAUAGGUUCAGGAUUCUAGAAAAGAUCACAGCUUUAUAGUUUCUUGUUUAAGAAAUUUAUAUUAUUAAGUGUAUUUUCAAAUACAUUAUCAUCUCCUUGCCACCUUCUAGGCAAAAUCUUUCCAGAAAUGUUCUGUUUUCUCAACUAAACCAUCAGUAUAUAUCUUAGGUUGCACUAUGUCAUCUACAUAUUCCAAUAAUAUUGUAAGAGUUAUGUCUACGUUGUGUUCAGGUAUGCUCGGGAAAGUUUUAGUUGUCUUGUUGGUUUCAGGUCUAGCAUGGGCAUUCCCAGCCCUCCUACCUCCACCUCCCAGAAUCUGUGGCUCUCCUGAUGGUCCAACAGUUACCGGACCUAGAAUCAAACUUAGGUAUGGAAGACAUUUGGCUUAUAAGGAGCAUGGUGUACCCAAAGAAACGGCCAAAUAUAAGGUCGUAUAUGCACAUAGCUUUGGUUCUACGAGAUAUGAGUCAGCUAUUGCAUCCUUGGUGUGUCAUCAACUCUUUGUCAAACUCGUACUUCUGCAUCCUUUUUGAGUAUAAUUGAACUGAGAUUAUAACGGUUUAUUGAUGUUUUUUUAGGAAACACUUGAAGAAUUAGGGGUGUAUGUUGUCUCUUUUGAUAGACCUGGUUAUGGGGAAAGCGAUCCACAUCCAAAACGAACCAUACAAACUACAGCUUUGGAUAUGGAAGAGCUUGCUGAUCAACUCGGACUUGGCCCAAAAUUUUAUGUUAUGGGGUAUUCCAUGGGUGGUCAUUCAGUUUGGGGUUGCCUUAAGUACAUCCCUAAUCGGUAUGUCUGGAAAUCACUUUUCAUGAGCGAUACGCUUCAUGAGAUCUUGUCCUUAACAUUCAUCUGACAUGUCAUCAUUAUCAUAACCUAUCACACACAAUGUAAAAGACCUUAGAAUCAACAGACAAAGAGGAAGCUUUGAUUUAUAGCAAAGCGUUUCGAACAUGAAACCAACUGUUCUACAGUUACAGUAGAUUGUUGGUAUUACGCAACUCAACAACAACAACAUACCAAGUGUAAUUCCACAAGUGGGGUCUGGAGAGGGUAGUGUGUACGCAACCUUCUUUUUUUAUGGUUUCUCCUGUGUAUACAACCUUACCCCUACCUUAUGUAGGUAAAAAGAUUGUUUCCGAUAGACCCUUGGCUCAAGUAAAGCAGAAUCAAAAAAUAAGUAGAACAAAAACAAUAGCGAAAAAGCCAUGCUAAAAACAAUUAAAAUAGAACAAGUAGCAACAACAAAAUGUAAGGUUACUGAAGCAAAGGAAACAACAAGUAACACUAGAAUCGAAGAAUAAGAUAGUAGGAGAGUAGUAAUAAUAAUAUUGAUAGGGGCCCAGACAAUACUCGACUACUUACUAACCUUCUUUCCUAAUCCUCAACCUCCAUAUCUUCCUAUCUAGGGUCAUGUCCUCGAUAUUACACGACUUGAUCAAAUCAAAGUCCCUCUGAACGAUUUAUAUACUACUUUCUUUUGGUCAUUGCUAUUCUCAACAACAGCAGCAAGACUUCUAGUAUUCUCUGUUUUUUAUUGUUUCCUACAUCUUGUUUUGGUUCUAAUAGGUUAGCUGGAGCAGCUCUAGUUGCUCCCGUUGUCAAUUACUGGUGGCCUAGCUUUCCUGCUAAUUUAUCCACAGAAGGAUACAAUCUACAGCUCACACAGGACCAAUGGGCACUUCGAGUUGCACAUUAUGCGCCUUGGCUAGUCUACUGGUGGAACACUCAGAAGUGGUUCCCGUACAAUAGUGUUUUAUCUGGAAAACUCAAAAUGUCUCCCCCAGAUUUAGAAGUUGUUUCCAGAUCUGCUAAGCAUGCAAACGAAAUGCAAAAACUAAAGGUAAUUUACUGUUAUAUUGCUGUCACUUCAUGAUCCCUUCCAUGUGUUUGAUCCUUGUAAUAAAUUUGCUGGUAGAAUUUGUAAUUGCUUGGAAUUUCGUUCCGACUCAUAGUAAAUUGGAGUUCUAUUCUUGCUCGUGUUAAAUGUUUUUUCGUUAUUUUUUUAAAAAUUUAGUGUUAAAUUAGGUCUUAGGCCUAACUCGCACCCCAAAAGCUAGCCCAUGAGGGGAGAAUUACCCAAGUCCAUAUAAGGAAUCUACCCAUCUCAUUACCACCAAUGUGGGACUUUUGUCAUUCUUCAACGUCCCACCUCACGCCUAGUGCUUAGCAUCUGGUGCAUGGACAAUUUUUUAUUUUGGGGGCCCAACAUUAGGUGAGAUGGGCUCUGUUCAGAUACCAUGUUAAAUGAGGUCUUAGGCCUAACUCACACCCCAAAAGCUAGCUCAUGAGGGGAGGAUUGCCAAAGUCCAUAUAAGGAGUCUACCCAUCUUAUUAACCACCAAUAUGAGACUUUUGUCAUUCUUCAACGGUUAAGAAGACCCUCAUUGGUAGAGGGAUGAGAAAUUGGUCUCCUUAUAUGGACUAGGACAAACCUCCCCCAUGAGUUAGACUUUGAAGUUGAGUUAGGCCCAGGUGCUAUAUCUUUACAUGGUAUUAGAGCCAAGUCUAUCCCCAUGUGGACUCUUGAUCCACGCUUCAGUUGGGCCUGGGUGUGAAGGGGGUGUUUGAGUUAAAAGUCUCAUAUUGGUUGGGGAAUGGAUGGGUGGUCUCCAUAUAUGGACUUGGACAAUCCUUCUCUUAUGAACUAGCUUUUGGGAUUGAGUUAGGCCCAGGUACCAUAUUUUUUCAUGAUAUCAGAGUCAGGCCCAUCCCAAUUUGUUGUUCAUCGAUGUUGUGCCUCCAUCUAUAAGUAUUCACGUUCCAGUUGUUGUUGUUCACCAAUGUUGGGCCCCCAUUUAUAAGUGUUCACUCUCCAGUUGAGUUUUGAGGGUGUUUUAAGAAGUCCCACAUCGGUAGAGGGAUGGACAAUUGUCUCCUUAUAUGGACUUGAACAAAUUUCCCCUCAUGAGCUAGCCCUCGAGGUUGAGUUAGGCCCAUGCGUCAUAUCUUUAUGGUUAGAAGGACCACUAGGGGUGAAAAAACCAUACAAGUAACAAUUUUAUAUUUGUUUGCCUAUGACCACUAGCAGUGUGUUGUAUUCUGUUCAUAUUAGUAGAAGUAGUAGUGUACUUGGUAACUUCCCAUACCCACUCAGUAUGUUGUGCCUAUGAUCUGUGGUAUAUUGUCUUGGGUUGUUUGUUAUGCUCCUGAGGAAGAACUUUUUCAUCUGAAAGUGAAAAGUAUGUUGCUACUAGGGAGACGAACAAUACAGACCGGGAAGUUAAAAGUGUUAUUGCGGAAUUGAUCACUAAAGUAACACACAACUAAGAAUUACGUUCAUACGUUAUUGCAUAUGUGAUAAGGCAUUGUUGGCUCAAAAGUUUCUGUUUCUUUCAUCUGUAUCUGUAGGAAUAUGCUGUAAAGCAAGGAGUAUUUGAGUCCCUUCACCGUGACAUGAUGGUGGGUUUCGGGAAAUGGGAUUUUGAUCCUAUGGAUCUUAAGAACCUUUUCUCAAAUGGUUCGAUCCACUUGUGGCAUGGUGAUGAAGACUGGGUUGUGCCUGUUAUAUUACAGCGUUACGUCGUAGAAAGGCUUCCAUGGAUAAACUACCAUGAAAUACCUAAUGUUGGACAUCUAGUUAUGCAUGAUCCAGCCAUGAAGGAGGUUAUCUGGAAGACAUUUUUGACAGGAG
Molecule: long non-coding RNA, 7312 nt
Filed under: Solanum tuberosum (potato)
Lineage: Eukaryota; Viridiplantae; Streptophyta; Magnoliopsida; Solanales; Solanaceae
Description: long non-coding RNA (STUB_LNC010466)
Source: RNAcentral